Molecule: unclassified non-coding RNA, 377 nt
Filed under: uncultured Simkaniaceae bacterium
Lineage: Bacteria; Pseudomonadati; Chlamydiota; Chlamydiia; Parachlamydiales; Simkaniaceae
Description: contains 16S-23S intergenic spacer region
Source: RNAcentral
UCCUAGUUAACCUAGGCAGUCUCAUUAGAGUGCCCAACCGAAUUGCUGGCAACUAAUGAUAAGGGUUGCGCUCGUUGCGGGACUUAACCCAACACCUCACGGCACGAGCUGACGACAGCCAUGCAGCACCUAUGUAGCGGCCCUUACGAGAGACUCCCUUUCAGGAGCUGUCCCCUACAUUUCGAGCCUGGGUAAGGUUCUUCGCGUUGCAUCGAAUUAAACCACAUGCUCCACUGCUUGUGCGGGCCCCCGUCAAUUCUUUUGAGUUUCACCCUUGCGAGCGUACUCCUCAGGCGGUAUACUUAUCGCGUUAGCUACGACACAGUCGGGGUUGAGUCCAACUACAUCAAGUAUACAUCGUUUACGGCAAGGACUAC